UUAGACCUCGGAUCAGGUAGGAAUACCCGUGAACUUCCAAUAUUACCAAAAAAAUU
RNAcentral lists this ribosomal RNA (56 nucleotides) under Fusarium sacchari. RNAcentral's name for it is "partial large subunit ribosomal RNA". The record is from RNAcentral. Lineage: Eukaryota; Fungi; Ascomycota; Sordariomycetes; Hypocreales; Nectriaceae.